Molecule: ribosomal RNA, 468 nt
Filed under: uncultured bacterium
Lineage: Bacteria
Description: partial 16S ribosomal RNA
Rfam family: Bacterial small subunit ribosomal RNA
Source: RNAcentral
GACGAACGCUGGCGGCGUGCUUAACACAUGCAAGUCGAACGGAAAGGCCCUGCUUUUGUGGGGUGCUCGAUUGGCGAACGGGUGAGUAACACGUGAGUAACCUGCCCUUGACUUUGGGAUAACUUCAGGAAACUGGGGCUAAAACCGGAUAGGAGCUCCUGCUGCAUGGGGGGGGUUGGAAAGUUACGGCCGUUGGGGAUGGACUCGCGGCUUAUCAGCUUGUUGGGGGGGUAGUGGCUUACCAAGGCUUUGACGGGUAGCCGGCCUGAGAGGGUGGACGGCCACAUUGCGACUGAGAUACGGCCCAGACUCCUACGGGAGGCAGCAGUGGGGAAUAUUGCACAAUGGGCGGAAGCCUGAUGCAGCAACGCCGCGUGCGGGAUGACGGCCUUCGGGUUGUAAACCGCUUUCGACUGUGACGAAGCGUGAGUGACGGUAAUGGGUAAGGAAGCACCGGCUAACUACGUG